UGUAACUUCUCCCCCAAGGACCCCUGUGCCUCUUUCUCCUCCAAAAUCCCUCUUCUCAUCCUCCUAAUACCUUCCCUUCUUGGUCUCCUAUUUCUCUUCCCCUCUGGUUCUCUCAGGCCCCCUUGGCCAGCUCUCCAUUGCCCCUCCCUUUCAGAAGCCCAAGUAAUUCCCACUCGCCUGGCCUUGGCCUCCUUCCCUGGUGUGGGUCUGCAAGCCCCAUCUCUCACCUGGGCCACCUUACAGACAAGAUUUGAGAGAUACCUUGGUUUUGCAGUUUUCACCUGUAGGACCUAACAGUGGCAUCUUUCUCCCUUCACAGUGUCUUACUGUCUGUCCCCUUCUAACCAGCCACUGCCAGGACCUCACCUUCAGUUCUUCCCCAGCCCAGCCUGCUUCCUUCUGACUGCAGGGGCUGAGUUAAUGCCAGCACUCACUAUGUGUUGUCACUGGGCUAAGGGCUAUGUAUGUUUUCCCACUAGUUACCAAGACAUUCUCAAAAAGUAGGAAUUGAAACUAGCCCAUUUUGCAGAUGCAGAAGCUGAGGCUGGGCUGAGAGCCCAGGGGUGGAACAGGUCAGAGCAAGGAACUGGUACUCUCAACCACAGGCUCUGCUGCACAGGUGGAUAUCCAGGGUGGAACUGACUGAGUGAGGAAUGACAGCGACUUUGGCAGAGAGGACUCUGCCCAGUUGAAAGGUAGGAAUGAUUCCAGGACCUCACAGAGUACACAAGCAUCAACUUACAGAGCAGCCCUGUGCCUAUGGCCUGAGGUAGGAGGUCCCCAGGGUAAAAGGAGAGUUCCCGCAGCCAAGGGUAGAGGGAGCUUCUGACUCAGUAGUAGAGAAGGGGUGGUGUGGCCUGAGUCUGACCUGUUUUUCCUUCGUCAGUGAAACUCCUGCCCAAAGCCACUGGCAGUGAUAUAAGCGACUCCAUACUAGUAGGUGAUUUCCUGUGGGGAGGCAUCCUCAGGAAUAACAGCUUUUUCUAAGCUCUAUGCUUUGUGUAUUUUCUUGUCUUACGCCCUCACAAUUCCAUUCUCAUUUCAUAGGUGAAAAACUGGUCCCAAGAGGGGUCACCCAGCUGCUAUACAGAGGGUGUUGAGACCAGAACUGGUCUCUUCACUCCUCCUUCUCUGGCUUGCAUGCUCAUUUCACUCUCUUCCUAUGUCCGACCUACCUGUGUGCUACUACCAGGACUGCUGGAAUGUCGCAAGAGUUCCACUUCCAGCUCUCUUACUGAAGGUCAUCUGACAUGUGUGAACUAGAAAUUAUAUGGACUGUCGGUGUUCUAUUCAUUUCUGUAUCUUGCCCAGACCUACCACUCAGCCUGCCCUAGAGAGAAUGCAUGCUGAGUGAGGAGCAGAGAAAAAGAUUUAUAGUACCACAAGAAUUAUUUCAUGUUGCCAUUGCCUUCAACACCAUCUGAUACAAAAGGAAUUGACCACUGGGGAUUUAGCUCAGUGGUUCUGCUGCUUGCCUCACAAGCAUAAGGUCCUUUGAUCCCCGGUACCAAAAAAAAAAAAAGAAUCGACCUUCGGAAGAAUCUGCUAGAAGAAUAAUCUAGAGAUCAUUAUUUUUAAGUAGAAAAAGGUACUGAGAAACGAGAAAACCAAUAUGCAGUUACACACCACAUAAUGGAUCAGUGACAGACCACCUGCUCUAGGAUGUAUGCCAUUACAGCCUAGGUGUGUUAGUAAGCUGCACCAUCUUAGUUUGUAUAAAUACUCUGUGUGUUUCCACAAUGAUGACGUCUCAUAUUUUUCACAAGGAAUUCCUGCGGUUAGGCAGUCACUGAGUACACACCUGUAACAACACGAUCAAAACACAUAUGUGCUGGACCAGGGAUUUACCUCAGUGGUUCCACCACCUGCCUCACGAGCAGAAGGACCCAAGUUCAAUCCCUGGUACCAAAAAAAAAACCACAUAUGUGCUAAGAGGUGUGUAUGGGCUGUGAUAGGAACAGUAAGAGGUAGAAGCUCUAAAUUUUAAAAAUAAGUUUUUUGCCCAGAUUAGAGAAGAAAUAUCAAAGUGUAUUAGAGAACUAUUGUAAUCUAAUUUUAAAGCUAAUAAAGAUUGCUGCCAAGCUUCAAAAACUAAGUAUUUAUUCAGUAAAUAUAUGAGUGCCUACUUGCUGGGCAUUCUGUCCUCAUUGAUUCUAUACUGAAACUCACUG
RNAcentral lists this long non-coding RNA (2171 nucleotides) under Heterocephalus glaber (naked mole-rat). RNAcentral describes it as "lncRNA (ENSHGLG00000040782.1)". Lineage: Eukaryota; Metazoa; Chordata; Mammalia; Rodentia; Bathyergidae. The record is from RNAcentral.